Molecule: long non-coding RNA, 13695 nt
Filed under: Sorghum bicolor (sorghum)
Lineage: Eukaryota; Viridiplantae; Streptophyta; Magnoliopsida; Poales; Poaceae
Description: long non-coding RNA (SBIC_LNC013602)
Source: RNAcentral
UGCGCUACGACACUUCUCUCCGCCCUUUGUUCAAGUCGAUAUGGCAGUGCAUCGGCUCGAAUCCAUGUCUCUCUCCCGGUCUUGUGGCUGACAACUUCUUAGGAAUCAUCAUUGUAAGCAAGAUUACCUUCUACAUCGUGACUGUGCCUUCACUUAAUGUUUUCCCUUGCUAUCACUUUGUGUAAUUAUUAUUAUCUCCGCUGCCCCAUGCAUCCCUCAUCCCACACUGCACCAGUAAUCACUGAAAGCUAGCCUUGCAGGAGCACAAGAACUCGACAUAUAUAUAUGAUUGGAUUUUCAAUGACUUACCAUCGACGAAGAUGGUAUAGUGUCUAAGAGGAGGUUUUCAUCAUCUUGUAACAGGUUCGCUAUUAGAUUAACUGCUUCAGCAUUCCUUCACCCCUCUUUUAUGAAAAGUUAAGAAAGAUUCAGAUUAACAAGAACGAUUUAUGAAAAUUAGGAAACUAUGUUGUUUUAUGCUAAAAGCUUGACGAAAUAUGCUUGCACAUUAUAUCAGUACUCUGGUCGCUCAAAAUAUUGGAUUUAAAUGUAUAUAGUUGGUGUGUAAUUAUAUGUUAGUCAUGUUUUAAUGUGGUUUUCCUCAUAUAUAUGGUUGCUUAUUUAAGUUUAUUUAAUUUAUGAUUCAGAAACUAGGAAAUUAUAAUAUGGAAAUUUAAUGUGCAAAUAAAUUUUUGGAAGCAACAGACAGAUCAAGUAAUUGCUUUCUUCUAAUUGUGUCCGGUAUAAAACAUUGCUCCAGAAAAGACGGCUGCGUUAAUAUUGAAACUGCUGCUUUCUGUUAGAGGUGUGUCCAAAACAUUGGAGAAGGAAUCAGGUUGCCAAAUCGAUCACUGCUAUCAUGUACUCAUGCUAGGGAAACGGUCCACUUGCUUGUGGGAUUGGAAUAAGAAACUUGUGGGAUAUCAGAGCACCAAAAUUAGUUAGAAACUGAAUCACUUUACACAUACUGUAUGAAACUUGCUACACACAAUAUUAUCUGAUCACAUUUUACGCUCUGUACGUAGAGUGUUUCAUUCCAUUAGCUUAACUUGUCAGUAUUUCUUUUUGUAUCAUGUACAGGUGUAUGGUCUGUUAGUGACUGCGUUUCUGUUGAUUAAAGAAUUAAAAAGGAAACUUCACGUAUACAAUUUGAGAGAGUAAAUACGUACAAUGUAACCUUACUUGUGGAAUUGGAAUCUGGUACUUAGUAUACAAAACAAAUAUAGUUGGAAACUGAAAUAUCUUUAUAUACUACGACACGUAUACAAUUUGAGAAUUUCAUGCUUUUAGUGACUCAUUUCUACCAAGCAAAUACGUACAAUGUAACCUUACUUGUGGAAUUGGAGAAUCUGGUACUUAGUAUAGAAAACAAAUAUAGUUAGAAACUGAAUAUCUUUUUAUACUAUGUUGACACGUAUACAUUUUGAGAAUCUCAUGCUUUUAGUGACUCAUUUCUACCGAGUAAAUACGUGGAAUUGGAAAAUCUAGUACUAGAAAACAAAUAUAGUUGGAAACUGAAAUAAUAUCUUUAUAUACUACGACACUAGACCUGAAAACAUGGAAAAGGUGGGCAGUAAUUCAGUCUUAUCACAUUUUGUGUUGUACAUGGACUGAUCGACGUAUCAUAUGCCCUUAGGUUAACCUAUUGUCAGAUUUGCAAUGAUUUUUGUCCUUAUGUUCAGGUCUACAUACAUAGCUUGUCAAAUUCGUGCACUCCAGAGAAAACUGACAAAAAUGACUGGUAUAUGCAUUGGAUUCUUUAAAACAUGUAAUAAUGCUGGUCUGUAAAAAUAAUACUAUGCACUGCUGCGAAAAACAUUUUACUGUAAAAUCACUCUGCAAUACUAUGAAAAUCAGUUUUAGAGGAGUUAAAUGCACUAGGCGGCCCUCAGACUUGUAAGGCAGUUUCAAUGUUUGGACACACCUCUAAUAGAAAGCAGCAGUCUCAAUGUUAACCCGGCUAUCUUUUCUGGAUCAACGUUAUACCUGAUGCAACCAGAAGAAAGCAAUUCCUUGAUCUGUAUGUUGCUUCCAAAAAAUUAUUUGCACAUUAAAUGUCCAUAAUAUAAUUUUCUAGUUUCUGAAUAGAAAUUAAAUCAACUUAUAUAAGAAACCAAAUAUACAAGGAAAACCACUUUAAAACACCACUAACACAAUUGCAUACCAUGUAUAUACAUUUAAAUGCAAUACUUUGAACGACCACAAUAUCGAUAGUGACUUUAAAAAUACAUUUUUGGAUCCCUAAACUUAUAAAGUAGUGUUAUAUAAGUGCAUAUCAGCCACAUGGGUGUUUCUUAAUGAUGGCACAUGCCAAGGUGACAUGCUUUUUUUAUAUUUAACUCCUCCCACUUCCCUCUUCUCUCAUGCCAAUCUCAACCUGUCUAGUGUCACGACUGUCCACAAGCAGAGAAGAGGGAAGCAAUAAGAAGAAAGCAUCUAUUCGUGAGAGUAGAAAAAAGAGAAGAUCUUAAAUAUAGGAAAAUAUGUCCCACUAGUAUGUCACAUUAGUAAGAAACAUUCAUGUUGCUGACAUGGAUCUAUGGCGCAACACUUAACAAGUUUAGAAACUCAGAAAUGUAUUUUUAAAGUUCUUGGACCUAAAUGAUACACCCUUACAAGUUUGAGGGCCGCCGAUGCAUUUAACUCUUUUAGAGGUAGUCAGAAUUAUUUCCAGAGGAACCACCUCUGUCUAUAUCUCUAGAGAGCGUCCAUAUAUCAUUAGAAGCGAUAUAAACAACUUGUCGAAUAUAUGGGCCUAGGGUACCAUCACCGCCCGUGUACUCAACCAUGCAUGUCUACGGGCCGAAGACAAUGAAGGAUGAGGCCCAAUAAGGCCAGAAAAAUCCACCAGUUUGGAGGACACGUCAUUCUAAGAAUAGGAUAGAAUCAUUUAAUUUGUUGCGUAUUUCAUAUAACAAACUAGAAAAUCAAUUAGUUAGCUGAUUGGAUCCAUUGUAAUUUGUAACCUACCCCGUCGGGCCUUCGAAUCAGGAUCCCAUCUUCUACAUUACCACAUAGAGCUACACACAGCAGCCCCUCCGAGCAUAUGAAUAAAGAGAAAUCCACCUUCAAAAUCGACAUAGGGACUCCAUGACCCCGAACCAGUAUAAUUCAUGUGUUUUGUGUGCUACCAUUAAUGAGGACAUGACCUCCAUAUAUACGACCAUGAUUGGAGAAUCGCCAGGAGGCCGAGGAUCAGCAAGGGUGUCCAAAACGAGGAGGUGCAGUGCUUUCAUGCACUCAUGCUAGGGAAACGAUUAACUUAAUUUCUUCUGAAAUUGGAAUAAGUAACUUGUGGGAUGUCAUCAGCGCAAUAAAAUUCGAAACUGAAUCACUUUACACAUACUGAGUGAACCACUCUUGCUACACACUAUAUAUCUGAUCACAUUUUUUGCUCUGUAUGUAGAGUGCUUCGUUCCAUUAGAGCCUAACUUGUCAGUAUUUCUUUUUGUAUCAUGUAUAGGUGCACCACUUAAAAAGUUUACAGAUCCAAAAAUGCAUUUUCAAAGUUUGUGAACCUAAGUGACAUACCCUUAAGUUUGAGAGCUGCUGGUGUAUUUAAUUCUUUUUAAAAGGUAGUCACAAUUGGUUCCUAGAGAAACUGUGUGUCUGUCUAUAUCUCUAGAAAUCGUCCAUAUCUUAGGAGCUAUUUAUACAACUGCCUCUGAAAAUCAAUCUAUAGAGACAUGACAAAACGUUAGGGCACGUGGAAAUCAAUUUCUAAAGAGAGUUAGCAUUGUUAGCAUCUGAUUUUUUUUUUCAAACGUGCAUGCCAAAUUUGAAAAAAAAAGUUUAACUUUAUCACAUUUGAUACACAUUGCUUUAUAUUCGCUAAGAUAGCUAUAUAUUCAUUUACUUAUAUAUGUGCUGUCAUCAUACGAAUUGCAUCAUUAAUGUAUAUACACAAUCGAAUCCAGUGCAAGCAUCAUACGGAAUAAUAAUAAUGGUACACUAUAUAUAUGCAUAUUGUCAAUGACCAAAAUUUAAGAGUUCCCACUAACACGAAGAUUCCUGUUGUCUGGUUGAGGCGAUUGCGUUGACGAUGUUUAGUCGUAGAAUAUACCUCUCUUGUAUAUGCUUUGGUCAAGCAUAUAUACACAUGUAGAUGUCCUCAAUUAUAUCUAGGGGGUCAUCAUUCACUACUACAGAUCUUCAAAACACUGUUGGUUUAAAAAGCCUAUCAGCGUCAGUUUUUGAACCAGCAACAAUGAUGUGGUUUUCAGGAAUUCAAAAAAAGGCUGAAAAAUAGGAAAAAAAAUUAAUACCAGGAGAGACCUCACUAGAUAGGCACAGUGUGCUUCAUGGCCACAAGCGCUCAAACCUUGGACCUCCUGCUCCGCAUGUUCAACACAUAACCACUCCACUUGUAAGACAUUUGUGUCUCUUUAGGAUAUUCGUUCUCCCCAUUUAUAUCACUUAGGAUAUAAAAUGAAUUUAUAUGAAAAAGUUCUCAACUACAAAGUUUUAUAGCUUUUAUAAAUCUAUAACUUUUUUUUGUUCAUUUCUCCAUCUGAGGCCAUCUGAAGAAUUUGAAUUUCAAAUAUGAGAAAAUUCAACUAUAAUUUUCUCAGAUAGAUGAUUUCAAAUAGAAAAGUUUUCAACUACAAAGUUGCAUAACUUUUCAUGAUCUACAACUUUUGUUUUUGGCAUUUAUCCAUCCAAGGUCAUUUGGAAAAUUCAAAUUUUAAAUUUGUAAAAUCAAACAUAAUUUUCGUUAGAUAGAUAAUUUCAAAUGAAAAUAUUAUCAACUACAAAGUUGCAUAAGUUUUGAAAUUUACAACUUUUGUUUUGGUCGCUUCUCCAUUUGAGAUCCUUAAAUAUCACUACACACUCACUUAUGACUAUGGAAUAUAUGGCUUUAUUAGUUGGUGUUAACUUCUAUGAAAUCAUGUGAAUCAAAUAGAGGGACAUCAUAACGAGUUCAAUCAAAGAAGUUAUAAACUACAAAGUUGCAUAACCUUUCAAGAUCUAUAACUUUUGUUCUAGGCACUUCUCAAUCCGAGAUCCUUAACUACCACCACACACUUACUCAUCGCUAUAGAGCAUAUAGACUCAUUUGGUAUUAACUCUAUAAACUCUUGUGGUGUAUAUUUAGACAUCCAAACUCAAAUUUAAAAUUUCAAACUACAAAGUUGUAGAUAUCAUCGAGUACUACAACUUUGAUAUAAAGUUUAUCUUCAUCGAACAUCAUAUGAGAAAGUUAUGAAGUUUUCUUGCGGCAUAUAUAUCACUGUCGGUUCAAGCUAAGAACCAACAGUGAUGGUAUCAAUGUCAAUUUUUAGCUAAAAUUGAUAAUGAUGACUCAAUGUCAUUGUCGAUUCUUGGCUAAACUCGAUAUUAAUAUGAGCCAAUAGUGAAGACCCGAAUAUCAAUGUCAAUUGGUCCUAUCACUGUCGGUUGAGCUAACAGUGAAUGUCUGAUAUGUAGUAGUGGUUGUUGUUUCCUCUUCUUAAUAGGUUAAUAACCAACUAGUCGAGUUACAUAUAUAAGGAAACUACUCUAAUGACAGUAUCAACUAAAUGGCAACUGUAGCUACUACACAAGGAAACAAAUGCACAACUAAAUUAGCUUGAGUAGUAGGAAGCAAACCACAACGCAAACAAUGAUGACAAUAAUUUCUCUCGAGAUACGGUUCCUUGCCGGUUACAUACACCCCUUGAGGCAAGUCCUUGGACCGCCAUUCCUCUACAAGCCUCACGAGCACACAAUCUCAACCCUCAACGUGGGUGCUUGUUUAUGAUAUGGCUAAUCAACAAUAUACUAUAUAUCCACACCUCGUGAUUCCACUAGAGUUCCUGUUCAUGAACUCCCAUGGGGAGAAGUACAAAGCCCCUCACAAAUCCACUGUCUAGAGCCCAUGCAUGAUCACCAAGGGGUGCUCAAUGAACCUAUAUAGCUCCAAGUCAUCUAGGUGGCAGCAACCACUGAGAGAGUAACAAGAAUCACCAUAGUAAUAAUGACAAACUAGUGCCACAAGAUACAAAUCUCAAUGCAAUGUUCUACAUUCCUCUCCAAUCUCGCUCAAAGUUAGUUCCAUGCAAGCAGGGUGAGAGAGAGAUGUUCAUGAGCGCUAGGGGUGAGUAGUAGUGAUCAGUAGAAAUGGCCAUUGGAGAACAAAAGUAUGACCACACGUCCUAUAUAUAUGGAAUCCCACUCAAACUAGUUGUUUCCCUUUUUCACUAAUUAUUUGCAAAGGUGGCAGUCCAACCAUGCCCCCUAGCAGUCUAAUCGCGGGUCACCCAACACACUUGUAGCAAGCCCAAUGGUCAAUUAUAUGGCGCAAACUCCCCUCUCUCUUUUCUCUGAUGGACCUCUGGUUGGCUCAAAAAGUUACUACAGAAACUUUUUAAACGGUACCGAAGAACACAGUGCUGAAUGAAAAACACCAUCGAAGAAAGUGCUUAGUCAAUUUGAGCGUUGUGCCUUCUAUACAAGCUCUGGCCAAUCAAAUUAGCCAAGCGCUAAGGGACAGGCCAAAGUGUCAUACACAAGAGCCAACCCUUUGGUGAAAAAUGCCACCUCACUUUGGGAGAAAGUGCUACUACAAACAUCUUGUUGGCAUGCGCCUUGGAUUAACCAAGGCGCAACCGCCUCAGUCCAAAGGUCGUGGUUAAUACAUGAACUAUGGAGGCAGUACAAAUACCCACCUUGUAAACCAAAUAAAAAACAAAAAAGGGAAAUCCAUGGACAAACCCACUGAGCCCAUCCAUGGCUGCAGGAUUUGCAUGUGCAUGUUGCCGCUCGUUUAGACCGCUCUCCACUAGAUCGACUACUAGGAGAGGACCUACUGUGAGGACAGGGCACAGAUCGGCUGUCGGGAGGGGUCCCAUAGCCAGAUUUGGGCCCCCCAAAGCUACCACCACCAGAUUCGCCCACCCAUCGUCCAUCCAUGCAAGACUUGAGCAUGAAGGACGCUCUAGGCCUUGCUGCCACGGUCCCGAGCGUAGAGGAGAGUUGAGCCCUCGCCGCUGGCCUGAGUGGUGUGGAAAUUCCUAAUCUAAAUACUUCUCCUAGUGCGUCUGUAAUUAGUUGCAAGAAGGCAAUUGAAUGGCCAAUCCAAUUUGGCUCCGUUAGUAAUAUUUUUGGGAAUGAUAUGAUGAUGACUAAAGGCACUCAUGCUGCAAAGAAGGUUGCUAAGUUUAGUGCUAAACCUAAUCUGCCAUCAGAGGAUAGUAUAGCCAUCAAGCCAUCACUAAUAUUCAAUUGCAUUGCUGAAAGGAAUCGCCAUGAUGCCCUUAUUGCAGCACCAGGUAAUUCUAAAAUUUCUUAUCUGAGAACCGGUUGUUUGGGUAAGGUGAAGAACAAAGAUAAUUUAGCUUCACAUAUGCCACAAAAAUGGCCUUUCAAAGCUAUAGAAUUUCUGGGCAAAGGCAACAAUAUUGUUUCGACAAACAAUAUAUAUUAAGUUGAUGGUUAAAUAUUGACUUUAGUGACCAUCAACAAUAGCCUUGACAAUAGAAUUAAAGGCUUGACACACAUAGCCUAAUCUCUAGUGCUUCCCCACCAAGGGGUGAGCACAUCUCUCAAAGCUCUUUCCAAAACAGACAACUUCCGGCGUGUGUUCCGCUGAAUACAAACACCUUAAGCAUAUGAGUUAGCAUUUUCAAAACAUUAUUUUUCAAAGCUUUUCACUUGCUUUGUCACCACACCAUUAGGUCCAAUACACAUGCAUUAUUAGUCCUCACCUAGUGGCAAUAGAUAACCGUUGUUGAUUUAGAGUUCUCAUAACAGUACGACUAUCUAUGCUAAACCAAACCAUGAACUCUAUUGCACCUUAGCUGGUGAAACAAAACCCCUCUUGCAUAUCCUUUGCCUUUGGGCUUGUUUUCAUCUCCAACUCACUUCUUCUCCAAUGUUGAGCACUUGCACAUGGUAUGAUCAUCAUCUCCAUCAUCUCCUAGCCUUGCUCAAGUCCAUAUGGAUCUAGCUCAAUCAUCUCCAUUGAAAGCAUUAUUAGACCACUAGUUGUCACUCAUUUAACUAAACCAAACUAUGGCUUUCAAACAUAUGUAGAUGCAUGUGUUCCUAACUUAUAUGGAGAGAUCAACUAGUUACUUAAAUUUUCAAGGUGACUUCUAUACCUAUGGGUGACCCUCAUGAACUCUCAAACAUAAUAUCCACAAUGGACACUAUCUCAACAUUGCUUGUGGCAUUGUGUUGAUGCAACAUGUUUUGAUUUUAUACCAAGAACUUUGGUAGAAAUAUAAUUGUAUCAAUAAUACCGAUCAAAGUAAAGUAUUUUUAUUUAAAUAUAUAUCUUCAUUGGUAUUUCUAGAUGAAAGCAUCUAGGCCCCUACUAAUGAGUUUCGGUGAUUGACGACAAUGUUGAUUACUAUGACUAACGUGUGUUUUGUAGAGGCUAAGUCAUUUGUGUUAGGUCAUGGUAAUAGUGAUCGAUGGACUAUAACGUUCAUGCCGACUUAUUGGUGGAAAUCAUUUCGGUUUUCAAAGGAUUGAUGGACAUCGUCAACUAGACUAGGUCUAGGUGCCAUAUGGUGUUGAAGGGCACUUAGAGUAGUUUAGGACUUUGUUUUUCCUUUGACCAUACUAUUAAGGGGGGCAUUGAGCGGGUAGUUUGACCUAGACAAGGCAUUAGGUUUAGGUGUGGUGCACACUUGGUAAACCUAGUACUAGGCAGCUCUGAGAGAGUCCUUAGAUCGAGAGAACCAAACUUUAUUUUGGAAAGAUCAUGAUUCGAAGAAGUUUUGGUGCUGAGACAGCACCAGAUGCAGGCACCGGACGCAGCAGAGCCACUGUUGGCGUGCCCAGUGAGUGCUGACUUGGGUCAGCGCGUCGAGGUGCCUAGGGUUAGGCACCGGACUCACCGAGGAGCGUCCGGUCCCGUACCUAGAGAGGUAUGCAAUUCGCCCUCUCAUUGGACGCUGUGUGGGUGGGACACCGGACCCAGUGUUGGUGCGUCCGGUGCUCGGCGGCUGCAAGUACAACUAGCCAUUAAUGGGGUACCGGACGCUCUACAGAGCACGUCCGGUGCAACAUUGAGCGCAUCCGGUGCACCCGUUUUCUGAGGAAUUCAGGUGGCCAGCCCUUGGACUUGAUGGGAAGUAUUUGUACUCCUCCACCUCAUCCAUGGGAGCUCUCUUGCCCAUUUGUUUAGCUGAGAAACACCUUGUGGUGCAAGAGAGAAGCAAGAGCCUAGAGAGGAUUGAGAAUUGAGAGAUUUCUCGAGUGAAUCCUUCUCUACUGAGUUCUAAGAGCUCAAGUGUGCAUCCACCACUCUCUAGAGCCUUGUUUGGGUCAAGUAAGAGUUCUUUGCUUGUUACUCUUGGUGAUCGCCAUCAUCUAGACGGUUCGGUGGUGAUUGGAGGCACGAAGACCACCCAGAGUUCUUGUGGGUAGCUCGUGUCAAGCUUGUGAGCGGUUUUAGGUGAUUCACCAUGACAGAGUGUCGAAGAAUCAGCCCGUAUAGAGCACUUGGUCCUUGCACGGACCAAGGGGGAGCAAGACCCUUGCGCGAGUGUUCCAACGAGGACUAGUGGAGAGUGGUGACUCUCCGAUACCUCGGCAAAACAUUGUCGCGUUCUUCUUGCUCUCAUCCUUUACUUUCUAGCACUUACUUUUAGUACUUUACAUUUUUAGAAUUGUCAUGCUAGAAUAGGAUUGGACACUAGUACACAGAGGUACUAUACAGGCGGUUCUAAACCCCUUUUUGCAGGCGGUUUGGCGAACCGCCUGUGAUUGGUGGCCUGUGGAAAUAAAUUUUUCCACAGGCGGUAACUGAGAACCGCCUGUGGAAAUGUAUUUCUACAGGCGGUUCAGUUAUGCCAACCGCCUGUAGAAAUCUUUUUCCAGAAAAUAUGAAAUCGGUUUUUAAAAAUAAGAAAAAAAAUAUUUUAUUACAGGGAAGGCUCAUUGGCUAUUCGCCCGCCCGUCUCCGUCUCAAGUCGCAAGUCGCGCAUUAAAACAUUUUAUUACAGGGAAGGCUCAUUGGCUAUCAGCAUGUCCAUAUGAGUUUGAGAACAGAUAAGUAGAUCAAGGCCGACAAUCCAAAAUUGCAGAUGGAAGUCUGCUGACUUAAUAAACUAAGAAAAGAAAGACCUGAAAUCUCCUUUUAACAUCACCUGCACUACUCCCAUGAGCAAAAUAAUGACCUGAAUGAGGAUCAAAUGUUGUAGUGUAAACCUGAAUAAUAACAGCUUAUGCAAAAGAUCAUUCACACAUUAAAAAAAAUAUAUACACAAGGAUCUCUCUAAAUUAGACUCAACAUGGUUCAUACUAUACUCAAGUAAGCUCACACAUUUCCCCACCAAUCCCCUAAAUUUCAAUGCUAAUUAUGCUAGAAAAACACAAUGGGCCGCUGGGCCACCCCUCUUUUCUUCUGUCCUCACUUAGCCACACACUACUCGUGAAGGAUCCAGCCUCUUCGCCAUAUAGAUGUGUCCAGAUAACUCAAAAGAAGGGUUACCUAGCUGGCAACAAUGAUUGUUGCUAUCCAUGAGUAAUGGACAUGGUGGGAUGCAAGACUUACGUAAAAUCUAAAACUAUGAAUCAUCAAACUGAAUGAUAAAAGUCUGCUACAUAUAUAACUGAAUGAUCAAAUUGAAGAAUUGUUUGAUGGCAAAAUAACUGUCCAGAAAAUUACCUCUUUCAUGUUAUAGAUAUGUCCAUACCUGAUUUAGGCAACAUGAUUCAAAAUUACAGAAAAUAUGACCUUGUUCACCACUCUGAGCCGCCUGUCAAAGCACACCUCAGUCAUAUACAUUUAUUAGUAUUCUUGUUAUGUGUCUGAAGUAGCAUAUACAAAUUACAACAUGAGUCAAUGUGCUAAUUCAAUUUGAAAUGAUUAUAGCAAUGUGCUUUAAUUAGUUGACUUAAUAAAAACUAUGAAAUGACUUCACGACGACAUACAAACUUAAACAAAGACGAUAAACCCCAGCAUCCGUAAAAUCUGGUAGCAUAUACUGAUCAUGGACAACACUUGCAAGUAACUGGCCACUACCUAAAAUCAAGAGCUUCAACUACAUAUACUGAACCUUCACAUGAACAGGCCUGAAAUAUUUUUCCAUGACAUACACAGAUGCAAUAGAUUAACUGCUUGUCCCUAGAACUAAUCAAGUUCAAGGUCAGUUUUAACAAACAACCCAAAAUUCAGAAAAAGACUCUUUUAUCACUGAGAAUAAAAAAAACUGAAACCACAUGACAAUAGCAUCCGGUCUCCGUCUCACAGAUAGAGAACAUCAUGCUAGAUUAACUGCAUAUACUUUGAGUAGCCAUUAGGAAUUUCCUAUAUCUAUCCUGAUAGCCGUCGCCAGCACUUGAGGACUGAGCUGGGGUGCAGGCUGUCCAGCGAGAUGUCAACGACAGCCCAUGUUCCAUCAGCGUUCUGCUUACAGUACCUCACGAAAUGCUUUCCCUAGUCGGCAUCAGUGGGGAAGGCACCUGAAACUCAACUGACAUCUUGACUGCCUGUCACAACGAUAUGAUAUAUGCAUUGCACGACAUGAAGGCCUAUGGAAUUAUGGCUCUGACCAACAAAAAAUACUUUAGGAUAAUAGUUGAGCAAAGAAAAAGGAUAAUUCAUUUCGCAAGAAACUUCAUGUAAUGAAAAAUACAUAUAUCAGAAAAAACAAAUGAAGAGCUACUUAAAGAGUACUUGCGGCCGGAGUGUGAACAACAUUCCUAGCCUCUCUUACUAAUACAUAAUGACAUUUUGAGAAUUAAAAAAUGAGAAAAUACAAAAUCUGUAGCAAAAGUAAAGUGACGACUUUUGGAAGAAAGGAUCGAAACACGACAAUUGUCUGGAGAAACGCAACCAAGUUCUUCAUUACCAAGUGAAAUUCAGACUUACGGAAGAGAAGAAGACAGACCCCUGCCAUGGCGCGCAGGUCAAUGGGGGGGGGGGGGGGGGCGGCGGGAGCCGUGAGUGAGGUUGCGAGCGGCAGCGUGGGGCCCGAAGCCGAUGGACAGCGGCCUCGGUGGUGGAGCGGUCAGCGGAGCUGGUGGGUGCCGCGAGCAAGGGGGCACGUAUGGCCUGGUCCUCGACGGACACCAUUGGAUCCAUCCCAAUCGCCGCUGCCCUGCGCAAACACUAUCCCUGCAGCCUGGCGACGGAGUCCCACCCCCACGGCAUCGCGCGUGGGAGAGAGGAGGAAUGGCGCCGCGUGCGGGGGAAGGAGUCAUGAAGCGGAGGCGGCAGUGCUGGUGACGGCGGCGCUAGGGAGAUGGCGAGGUGCAGCGCGAGGGAGAUCGCGAGGUUGCUGGGAAGAGGGUCCACCUGCCGGCGUCCAUAUUUGUCGCAGGGGAGGCUCGAUCCCUUCGCGGAGGAUCGCACGGGUGAUGGAGAGGUGAAGCGAAAUUUUGUCGACCAAAAUAGUAUCUUGUCUUUAGUGUUUUUAUAGUAGUUGGGGGGAGAGGAAGAUAAUCCCUUGAGGUGUUUGUUAAGGCUUUGUUUAGAUCCAAAAUUUUUUUGGAUUUUAUCAUUGUAGCAUUUUCGUUUUUAUUUGAUAAACAUUGUCUAAUCAUGUAGUAACUAGGUUUAAAAGAAUUGUCUCGUGAUUUACAUGUAAACUGUACAAUUAGUUUUUUUUUUAUCUAUAUUUAAUAUUUUAUGCAUGUGCCGCAAGAUUCGAUGUGAAGGAGAAUCUUGUAAAGUUUUAGGUUUUUAGUCGCAUCUAAACAAGGCCUUAGGCAUUGCGUGUGUGCUGUCCUCCACAACUUUGGCCCCUUUGUGGUCUCGGAUACACGGAGGACCAUGGUCUGGAGAUCUUCGUCUCUAGAGUUGAAUAAUUUUUGUUGACACAAAAGAACUAUAUUAGUUUGUUUAGGAUUGAUUACAUCGUCACAUUACAAGCACCUACGUAUAUCUAGAAACUCUAUAUUUGACCCAUAUUUUGUACACCUUUAAAUCUCAAAUCUAAACAUAUAUGACGAUUUAUAUUGGUAACCGCACAGGCAAAAAAUUAGUAAAAGUUAGAUAUCUAACGAACGUCCAAUAUUCCUACAAACGGAGUUGAGAAACUUCUUUCUUAUGUCUUUCUUUUUUGUUUUUCUGCCACCAAAGAAUAAAAGAGACUCAUUUAAAACUAGUUCUCUCUAGUUCUUCACGUGGUUCUUCACUUUGAUGUCACCAUUCGGAAAACUAAGUCUCUAUGUCUUCAUGCCGAGGAAGUUGCUGACAUUGUAGUUGUUACCCUUAUCUUCAAAAGAGCCAUCAUGGAAAAAAUAAAUCUACUAUGUCCUAACGUCAUCGACGAGAGAGAUAAAUCCCCAAUAAAAAACUUGACAUGGAGAAACUCUAAUGCUAAAUGACUCAAUCUAAUAGAAAAUCUAUUAAGAGGGUGUUUGGUUUGGAGGUGUUAAAAUUUAACAGGUAUUAUAUAUCUUUCAUUUUAUUUGACAAUUAGUGUCAAAUUAUAGACUAAUUAGGUUUAAAAGUUUCGUCUCGUAAAUUAGUCUCUAAUUGUAUUUUUAGUUUUCUGUAAAUAAUCUAUAUUUAAUAAUCGAUAUAUGUAUCCAAACAUUUAAUGUGAUAGGUGCUUAAAAAAUGUACAUAACCAAACAUGCCCUAAACAGAUGCAACCUCCGGCUAGAUGCUGAAGGGAAAAGAGAGGGAGACUAGCAGUGGUGGAGGGGGUGGCGCCGUGGCAGCCGGCAGGCUGGCAGCGGCUCGGCUUGCCUGCGCAAAUCUCCCGGUGGCUCGCUGGAGGAAGCUGCGAUCGACUUUUUUUUCUCUCUAGG